GUUGCUUUGGUCGAGUGGUUAAGGCGUGUGCCUGCUUAGUACAUGGUGUUUCCCCCGCGAGAGUUUGAAUCUCUCAGGCAACG
Molecule: non-coding RNA, 83 nt
Organism: Ipomoea nil (Japanese morning glory)
Lineage: Eukaryota; Viridiplantae; Streptophyta; Magnoliopsida; Solanales; Convolvulaceae
Source: Rfam